Molecule: ribosomal RNA, 794 nt
Filed under: uncultured Pelagibacteraceae bacterium
Lineage: Bacteria; Pseudomonadati; Pseudomonadota; Alphaproteobacteria; Candidatus Pelagibacterales; Candidatus Pelagibacteraceae
Description: bacterial SSU rRNA
Rfam family: Bacterial small subunit ribosomal RNA
Source: RNAcentral
CGCCUAACACAUGCAAGUCGAACGAAGUAGCAAUACUUAGUGGCAGACGGGUGAGUAACAUGUAGGUAUCUACCCUUUGGCCUGGAAUAACACGAGGAAACUUGUGCUAAUACCGGAUAAGUCUUUACAGAGAAAGCUUUAUGCACCAUUGGAUGAGCCUGCACUUGAUUAGUUUGUUGGUGGGGUAAUGGCCUACCAAGACUGUGAUCAAUAGCUGAUUUGAGAGGAUGAUCAGCCACAUUGGGACUGAGACACGGCCCAAACUCCUACGGGAGGCAGCAGUGGGGAAUCUUGCACAAUGGAGGAAACUCUGAUGCAGCGAUGCCGCGUGAGUGAAGAAGGCCUUUGGGUUGUAAAGCUCUUUCGUCGGGGAAGAAAAUGACUGUACCCGAAUAAGAAGGUCCGGCUAACUUCGUGCCAGCAGCCGCGGUAAUACGAAGGGACCUAGCGUAGUUCGGAAUUACUGGGCUUAAAGAGUUCGUAGGUGGUUGAAAUAGUUGGUGGUGAAAUCCCAGAGCUUAACUCUGGAACUGCCAUCAAAACUUUUCAGCUAGAGUAUGAUAGAGGAAAGCAGAAUUUCUAGUGUAGAGGUGAAAUUCGUAGAUAUUAGAAAGAAUACCAAUUGCGAAGGCAGCUUUCUGGAUCAUUACUGACACUGAGGAACGAAAGCAUGGGUAGCGAAGAGGAUUAGAUACCCUCGUAGUCCAUGCCGUAAACGAUGUGUGUUAGACGUUGGAAAUUUAUUUUCAGUGUCGCAGCGAAAGCGAUAAACACACCGCCUGGGGAGUACGACC